GUGAAUAGUAAAAGCUCCACUUUGUACGGUGCUACAUUUCAUUGGUAAAUGUCCAAAUGGCACCUCUUCCAUGUCAGAAGCUCUGUGAGACCACAGGCUUCUCGGUGACUGCAUCUCACACUGGCACAGAACAUUGUGUUGUUCUUCCUUGGAGGAUGUCAUGUUCGAUUUAUUUUUAUGAAGAGAAAUUAUUCAAGGGAAAGUCAGAGGUUUUAAGGGAAAUGGAAUUAGGACCCACAUGAGUUAUACAUGUGUAACUGAAUGCCACUGAAUGUUCUUUGGGAGUCUUUGACAAAUUGUCAUGCCAUCGGGAUGUUAAACCCUCCAGCUGCUUUCCUGGAUUUCUAGAGAAUUCCCAGAACCAGAAUAGAUCCCAUCUUGGUUUUCUAAAUCCUCCCACUACAAAUGUUGGCUUCAGAUAAGAAGUCUUCUUUAGCUGAGGGUGUAACAUUAUUAGACAGAAAUUUAUUUAGAACAUUUUUGUGUCUAACCUACCCAGUGCAUUACAUGGAAUUGAAUUCCAUUUCUGCAUGAAUGUUAGAACUCUCUUUACCAAUUAAGUGGUUGAAAAAGGUAGGGGUAAAAACAGCUUACCUUGGGCUGAGUGUGAAUUGUGUCUCCUGAAUGAAAUUCAAAGCAGUGGCUCCUGUUCUCUGUGCUGCCUGCUGCCAGCCCCCCACCUUCCUCUUCCUGGGUGAUGCCUAAACUGCCUGGGGCGCCCUCAUGCCUUCAGCCUUUCCUCUUUUUCCCAUCAUCACAGUGCCUUAGGGGGUCCUUCUGCCAGCCAUUCAUUCCAUAACUCAGCCUCAUUGUUCUUUUUUUUUUUCCCCUUUUUGGCUAUGCCCACAACAAGCAGAAGUUUGUUUCUGGGCUGGGAUCGAAUCAGCAACACAGCAGUGCCCAGAGCCACAGCAGCAACAAUGCUGGAUCCUUAACGCACAGCACCACUAGAGGAACUCUUAAGCCUUGCUGUUCUUAAAAGUCUCAAGCAUUUCCUGAAUGACUAUUAGGUUUAGACACAGAGCUUCCUCAUUUCUUAGAGUUUUCUAUCAAAUACAAAUUGAAAGAAGAGAUUUUUCUUUAUGAAAUUUUUUCAGUAAACACAGAGGAAUGGUUUGGCGAUAGCUUAGGCAGUUAGUGUUUGAAGAGUGAAGAGUGAUUUUCAUUUUAAAAAAGUUAACUGCUUUCUUCUUAUAGUAAAUAAGUAUAAGAUGCUUGUGGGAAGAAUGUGUAAAAUAGGGCUAGAUAGAUGAUAAAAUGUCUGUUUUUAUUUAAAGUCCAAGAAAAGAAUCCAAAUGAAAAGCAAAGCAGUGUUUUGGGGUUAAGACAUUUCUACUGUGAGUUUACCCCACAAGGAGGUCAAACAUGAUGCAUCCUCUGAAUCAGACUUGCCAACAAACCUUUACCUCCUGAAUUUGGAGGUGCAGAGUGUGCCUACACCACUAGAUGGCACCAUUGCCCACCGCACACUUCAAAUCCCCGGCCCAUUUUUGCCUCCAAUGGCUCAAAGAAAAACCCCCGUUUAUACCCCACCCCCGGUGUCUUGUAUUCAGUGUUAAAGAUCACAGAUGCCUCUUUGCCUUGGAGUUAUGUGCUGCCUAUCAGAGGCCGUUAGCAGAGCUCAGGACCCUCUGCAGCCUCCUCCAGAGCUUGGAAGGUGGCUGGAGACUGGACCCCAGUUUAUACUAUGUGUAGAAAGUCAUGCAUGCUGACGAUCACCUGGAAUCUCAAAAAGAGGAUCUGAUUCAAGAGAGAAUGUGGAAGAUUGUUCUGGAGAGAAGGAGGGCAGGCGCCUGGUGCCAGAUUUGGGAGAAGUGGGAGCCAUGCAAGGGAGCAUCAGUAGAGGGAGAGAACAGCCUCUGGAUCCAGGCCCGGGAUGGGCUAGCCAGAGGCAGCUGUGUCCUCUGGUGCCAGCAGCCCAUGGAGACAGGUAGUACUACCCCAUGCUUCAGACAACAUGCUCACUACAGCUUCUAAAGUAAAGAGUUGAUGGAGUUCCCUUGUAGCUCAGCAGAUUAAGGAUCCAGCAUUGUCACUGGUGGGGCUUGGGUCACUGCUCUGGCAGGAGUCCAGUCCCCGGCUCAGGAACUUCUGCAUGCUCUGGGAAAAAAAAAAGAAAGAAGAAAAAGUGAGGCCUGACCCUCAACCUAAUCAUGCACACUGUGCCUUAUCCCUGUGGCAUUUGUUUUUUCCAGAAAUCCCACUCCUGGGUAUGUAUCCAGACAAAACAUUCAUUCAAAAAAAUACCUCUAUGUUCACACAGCACUAUGCACAAUAGCCAAGAAGUGGAAACAACCUAAAUGUCCAUCGAUAGAUGAUUGGAUUAAAAAAAUAUACUAUGGAGAACAGUUUGGAGAUACCUUAGAAAUCUAUACAUAGAACUUCCAUAUGACCCUGCAAUCCCACUCUUGGGCAUCUAUCCGGACAAAACUCUACUUAAAAGAGACACAUGCACCCGCAUGUUCAUUGCAGCACUAUUCACAAUAGCCAAGACAUGGAAACAACCCAAAUGUCCAUCGGCAGAUGAUUGGGUUAGGAAGAUGUGGUAUGUAUACACAAUGGAAUACUACUCAGCCAUAAAAAAGAAUGACAUAAUGCCAUUUGCAGCAACAUGGAUGGAACUAGAGAAUCUCAUACUGAGUGAAAUGAGCCAGAAAGACAAAGACAAAUACCAUAUGAUAUCACUUAUAACUGGAAUCUAAUAUCCAGCACAAAUGAACAUCUCCUCAGAAAAGAAAAUCAUGCACUUGGAGAAAAGACUUGUGGCUGCCUGAUGGUAGGGGGAGGGAGUGGGAGGGAUCGGGAGCUUGGACUUAUCAGACACAACUUAGAAUAGAUAUACAAGGAGAUCCUACUAAAUAGCAUUGAGAACUUUGUCUAGAUACUCAUGUUGCAACAGAACAAAGGGUGGGGGGGAGAAAUGUAAUUGUAAUGUAUAUAUGUAAGGAUAACCUGACCCCCUUGCUAUACAGUGGGAAAAAAAAAAUUUAAAAAUAAAUAAAUUUUUAAAAAUAUGAUACAUUUACACAAUGGACUACUAUUCAGCCAUAAAAAAAACAACGAAACAGUGCCAUUUGCAGCAACAUGGAUGGAACUAGAGAAUCUCUUACUAAGUGAAGUCAGAAAGAGAAAGACAAACAUCAUAUGAUAUCACUUAUAUGGAGAAUCUAAAAUAUGGCACAAAUGAACCUAUUUACAAAGCAAAAACAGAUCACAGACACAAAGGGCAGACUUGCAGUUGCCAGGAGGAGGGAGUGGGAUGGACGGGGAGUUUGGGAUUAGUGGAUGCAAACUUAACAUUUGGAAUGGAUGGGCAAUGGGAUCCCACUGCACAGCACAGGGAACUAUGUGUGCUUGGGUCACUUUGCUAUACAACAGAAAUUGAAAAAACAUUGUAUAUCAAUGAUACUUUAAUUAAAACAUUAAACUAAAAAUUAAAAAAAUAAAAAUAAAGUAGGGAUGCACAAGACCCAGAAUAAAUGAGGUUCCAGGCCCUGAGCCGCAGAAGGGCAGGAGCGAGCCCCUGGGAAGAGAUAUUACCCCGAGUGGGGGAGUGAGGGGCAGAUACCACCCACCCUCCUUCUCAGCCACAAUGUGGGCAGGAGGCUACACCCCAGCUACUUCCCAAAGUGGGUGCACUGUUAUGAAAUGUUCACCACUCUUCAGGCAAACGUUAUCAUCAGUAGCUUUUAAAAGCACCUCAGAAACUGCUCAAACUUAUGAAGCACUGUCCUGGCUCCUGAAGCCAGUGGGUUUGUAAUAGGGAAGAAAAAAAUCUGACUCCAUUUUGGAUCUGUGUCUUUUUCUUUAACCUUUGCCUUCUGUUGCUUUUGCUGCAAGUUAAUCUCUAAAGGAAUGUUUCCUAUGAGUUUAAAGUGUACAUACUGGCCCACCUCUGGGAACCCUGUCUUCCAUGCCUGAGUGUUUAGCUAAAAUACCUUUGUUUGAGCUCAUGGGAAGCAGCUUCACCAGGCCCACCUGUCAAUGGCUGCAGGAAAAAAGAAAUUAAUGCGUCUCCUUAGGAGGAGUCUGGCCUGAACUAGGAAAUAUUUGCCUCCAUGAAUUACCUUUUUAACCCUCACCUUCUCCUCUUUGUUCUAUAAGAGAAACUAGCCUCCAAACCCAGGCACGAUGGUUCUUUGGGACAUGAGUCCACCAUCUUCUCAGUCUGCUUUCUGAAUAAAGUCGCUAUUUGUUGCCCCAACAACUCCAUCUACUGGCCUGUCCAGCAAUGAGCAGCAUAAGCUUAGGCUCAGGCUUAGUCAUUCUUGAGAGGCUUUUUCCAACGGCUCAGGACUGAAGGGGAAGGAAGAGGUGCCAGUGAGGCUGGGAGCCCCUCUGUGUCCAUCCUGGGACCCACGAGAGGACAGGAGAGAGCCCAUCAGGCACUGGCCAGGGGGAGCGGAAGGCACAUCAACUUUCCCAGUGCCAUGCGAGGCUAACAUUUGGGAAUGAGACAUCCAGGACAUCACAUAGGUGACAAGCCCACCCUAGGCGAGGACAAUAGCCCUUUUAGGAAACAAGAGGAGGGUUCUUUGAGGGAUUUAAACACAUUCCCCCUCAGGGGCGCCUUCUGGGUGUGGCAGCCCUUGAAGGAAAAAAGCCAACCACAUCCUUCACUGAAAUUUACGGAUUUCAGGCACUCGCUCCCCACCUUCCCAAUCCCGACCGCAGGCCUGUGCUCUGAAGACCAAAGAGGCCACUGACUGUUAUUUUAAGAGCUAAAAUUUCCCAGAACCCUGGAAUGCUCUGAGAACUCUCAAAGAAAGCUAUUUUUGUUCUCUGACAAUUUGGCCAAUAUUUAACCUUCUCCCUGAAUCAUCCAAUUUCUUUCCUAUGAAAGUACUCCCCAGGUUCCAAAGAGAAAGCUGCAUUCAUGAUGUAAAUGUUUUGAGUUACACAUGGGUUAACACUGGCCGGGGUACUGGAGCCCCUGACUGUUGGGGGGUCACACACUUCCACAGAAGCAGGUUCGGGGUAAGAUCUCCUUUGAUUGGGCUCUUUGUUCUACUCCUGGAUUCACUGAGGUCUGCCACUGGUGUGGAAAUGGUGUCUUCCUACCUCAGGUCACUGCCACCUUUAUAUAGAAAGACAAGAGAAAAUGUGUUUCCCUACACCUGAAGCUAACACAACAUUGUAAACCAACUCUAUCCAAUAAAAUCCAAUUUUUUAAAAAAGAGGGAGUUCGCAUUAUGGCUCAGUGGGUUAAAUACCUGACAUAGUGUCCGUGAGGAUGCGGGGUUUAAUCCCUGGCCUCGCUUAGUGGGUUAAGGAUCUGGUGUGGCCACAAGCUGCGGCAAAGAUGGGCCUUGGAUCCGGCAUUGCUGUCACUGUGGCAUAGGCCUCAGCUGCAGCUCCAAUUCGACUUCUGGACCAGGAACUUCCAUAUGCAGCAGGUGUGGCUGUAAAAAGUGAAGAAAAAGAGGAGUUCCCUCAUGGCUCAGUGAGUUAAUGGUCUGACAUUGUUGCUUCUGUGGAUCCAGUAGCUGCUGUGGUGCAGGUUUGAUCCCUGAUCCAAGAACCUCCACAUGCCAUGGGCAUGGCCAAAAAGAAAAGAAAAGAAAAAAAAAAUGUGUGUUUCCUUUAUAGAGCAGGAUGAUUGAAUACUUUCCCUAUUGCUAAUUCAAAUUCACUUAACUGUGGGAAGUUUUUAAUGUGUGAGAUUAACCAUAACCAUUCAAACCACCCUCUUUUCUUCCUAUUUAGUUUUAGAAUUUGAGCAUCAGGGUUGUGAGUUCCCCCGCUGGCAGCUGGCCUGUGUUCUUCCUGCCAUCCGUCCCCACAUGGUAGACUCAACUGUGCAGAGGGGCUGACUGGCAAGGAAGCUCAGGCCCAGAUGGGGUCCAAGUACCUAAGGCUAUGUUAACUGUAAGACUGAAUGCCCACCAGUGGUUUGGGAGAACAGUGGGAUAAGUGCUCUGAGAGGGGUCACUAGCCGCUGGGCAAUCCCACAGUCACCAGUGUGUAUUGAAGGCUCCUUGUUGACCCAAGGAAGCAUUUUACCUUGAUUCUUCCUGCAGUUUUUCACCCUUGGCAAGGUCAACACGAGGCUGGGUAAUUCCUUGCUGCAGGGACCAUCCUGGGCCUUGGAGGAGGUUUAGGGUAAACCUGGCCCUCCUCACUAGAAGCCCUUCCCAAGUCAGGAUACUGAGACUGCCUCUGCGCACCAGCAAAUGUUCUCUGGGGGGGGAGUCAAGCCAUCAAUCACUCAGUGGAGAACCACAGGAAAGGGUUGGCAGGAAAGUGGGUCAGAGCUAUACCAUGAACUGGGAGGGACAUUCCCCAAGGUCCUUAGACAUGACAGCACAGGCUUGGACACCCUGCAGGGGACAAAGGGGAAAUGUGUCCAAGAAAGAGAAGGCUGAUCGUGCUGCAGGAUGGGAGGGACAGAGGCAUAGAGACAAGAGGGACAAGGUGAGGCAUCUGUGUGCUCAUAGAUGACCCACCCAUGCUGCAU
RNAcentral lists this long non-coding RNA (6457 nucleotides) under Sus scrofa (pig). RNAcentral's name for it is "lncRNA (ENSSSCG00000058801.1)". The record is from RNAcentral. Lineage: Eukaryota; Metazoa; Chordata; Mammalia; Artiodactyla; Suidae.